AAUGAACGUUGGCGGCGUGGAUUAGGCAUGCAAGUCGUGCGCGAACUGUAGCAAUACAGGGAAAGCGGCGUAAGGGAGAGUAAUACGUAGGUAUCUACCCAUGGGUCUGGGAUAGCGGCGGGAAACUGCCGGUAAUACCAGAUAACGUCUCCGGACCAAAGGUGUGAUUCCACCUGUGGAGGAGCCUACGGCCUAUUAGCUAGUUGGCAGGGUAACGGCCUACCAAGGCUUGGAUGGGUACGGGGUGUGAGAGCAUGCCCCCGCUCACUGGGACUGAGACACUGCCCAGACACCUACGGGUGGCUGCAGUCGAGAAUCUUCGGCAAUGGGCGCAAGCCUGACCGAGCGACGCCGCGUGCGGGAUGAAGGCCUUCGGGUUGUAAACCGCUGUCGUAGGGGAUGAAACGCUAGUGAGUUAUCUCAUUAGUUUGACUGAACCUAGGAGGAAGGGCCGGCUAAUCUCGUG
RNAcentral lists this ribosomal RNA (466 nucleotides) under uncultured bacterium. RNAcentral describes it as "bacterial SSU rRNA". It matches the Rfam family "Bacterial small subunit ribosomal RNA", at positions 29 to 507 of the family's 1533-position model. RNAcentral also lists the same sequence under 1 other name. The record is from RNAcentral.